Molecule: long non-coding RNA, 1093 nt
Organism: Hippocampus comes (tiger tail seahorse)
Lineage: Eukaryota; Metazoa; Chordata; Actinopteri; Syngnathiformes; Syngnathidae
Exons: 3
Source: RefSeq, a predicted model, not a curated record
GUGUAGAGCACAUGAACUAUAGACUAACAUUCUGUACCAGGAGUACACAAAGCCGAGUCCAUGGAGUGCAUGUGUUUGUACAACAUAACCCUAAUUUUCUCCUACUGUCUUUCAGUCUCUAUUUGCUCAUGUUGACAAAACACACACAAAAAAAGAGUGUUGCUCAGCCUUCAACCCCAAGCGUGCAGAAAUGUGCAUGUGUCUAUAUGUGCAUUGAGUGAUAGCCAUGGGAAAGGAUUAGGAUGGCUUUAGACGGGCUUUAUUUAAUAAGCAGCACAACGGCUGCACCGGAUGGGAAACUCCAAAAACACACGCACACAGGCAUGUGCACGCACAAAUACACAAACGCACACACACACUUAUACACUCCCACACACCAGCACACUGGGCUAAAGGACCCGGAGCUGUGGUUUUGUUACGGUCAAAGCUGGACUGAGCUAAGAGGCUAAGUGAACCAUGCGUGAGUUUGACUAGGUUUCUUGGCCCUGGUAAUUGGGACUGAUGGACCUGAAAGUGAGGGAUGAACCAGGGAAUACAGGAUGUCUGCACUGGCAUCUGAUUAGAACGAUUCAAACCAGAACCUUGUGAGCGGUGAAGAAAGCAAGAGGUGAAUAAAAGAUGACGGCGAAAGAGCGGAGAGGUGAAGCCCGUGUCUGCACGGCACUCCUGGGAGCCUAAAAUGCCUUCUCAUCAGUAAACUGUGGUGAUUGAUGUGGUGACCGUGACCUCUGGCCCAGAAUGCUUUGGACACCUGUCUUCUCACGCAAGGACCUCCAGGACGCUCCCUUUCAGUGCAGAUCCUGAUUUAUGAGACCCCAAAGGCUCCUCUUUGGUGUUUUGUCUCUAUCUCGCUCUCUCUAUUUUCCUCUUUUCCUUGCUCUCUUUCUCUUUGACACACUCUAUACCUCCAUCGUGAAGGGCCACAAGAGAAAUGGAGAGAAAUGACUGCUGUCAUUUUUUUUCUCUUUUAACUGGGCUGGCGCUGCUCUCUCUGUCACCGAGCCCUCGAGGGGAGAGGACAUCAAACAAAGGAAAAAGCUUCCACACUUUAUUGUCUUUUACCGCAGAGUGCUUAGAUCUAUUCUCACUCUCA